CUACGUAGGGGGCGAGCGUUGUCCGGAAUGAUUGGGCGUAAAGGGCGCGUAGGCGGCGCGGUAAGUCUGGAGUGAAAGUCCUGCUUUCAAGGUGGGAAUUGCUUUGGAUACUGUCGGGCUUGAGUGCAGGAGAGGUAAGUGGAAUUCCCAGUGUAGCGGUGAAAUGCGUAGAGAUUGGGAGGAACACCAGUGGCGAAGGCGACUUACUGGACUGUAACUGACGCUGAGGCGCGAAAGUGUGGGGAGCAAACAGGAUUAGAUACCCUGGUAGUCCACACUGUAAACGAUGAAUGCUAGGUGUAGGGGGUAUCGACCCCUUCUGUGCCGCAGUCAACACAAUAAGCAUUCCGCCUGGGGAGUACGGCCGCAAGGUUGAAACUCAAAUGAAUUGACGGGG
RNAcentral lists this ribosomal RNA (397 nucleotides) under uncultured bacterium. RNAcentral's name for it is "partial 16S ribosomal RNA". It matches the Rfam family "Bacterial small subunit ribosomal RNA", at positions 523 to 918 of the family's 1533-position model. The record is from RNAcentral.